ACUCGAACACCGGUUCCGAAAC
This 22-nucleotide microRNA is filed under the name Blattella germanica (German cockroach). Its description in RNAcentral is "Bge-Novel-2-P4_5p* (star (passenger))". The record is from RNAcentral. Lineage: Eukaryota; Metazoa; Arthropoda; Insecta; Blattodea; Blattellidae.